This is a long non-coding RNA of Corvus hawaiiensis (hawaiian crow), 1972 nucleotides long. RefSeq lists it as uncharacterized. The record is from RefSeq and is a predicted model, not a curated record. Lineage: Eukaryota; Metazoa; Chordata; Aves; Passeriformes; Corvidae. The transcript has 3 exons.
UCCAUUUCCAAAACUCUAUUACCUUGUAUAAUAGUAUUCAAAAGAAUUGAAUGCAGGAAAUUGUCUAUUACUUUUUAUUAGUAGAAGCUGUUAUGUAGGAUACAGCCUGCUGCACUGUUUUUUCUUUGUUCCUUUAAUUAACAAGAGCAUGAAAUCCUUCUAUUGGCAAGCACUUGUUCCAAAGCUUCUGUUGCCUUCUGUUUUUACUGAAAAGGGAUAUUCUCUCCUGAAAUCGGAAGGUUAUGGAGUCCUGUCCUUGCUGGCGAUAGUUUCAAGAGACACUUUUGUGGUGUUUUAAGAGAAGAAAGUCCUCAGAUCUAAUGCCUGGUGCAGAGCCGGACUCAAGCUUCCUUAAACAUAAAUGUGAGAUCUUUGUUUCAGCUUUGACCAGCAGAUGGGCCUGAGUUUACAAAGUUGAUUUAAGUCAGUUUAGAUUCCAUGUUCUUAUCUGGUACUCUAUUGCUAAUUAUAAUCAAUUAGAAAUAGGAGCUUUCUGGGACUUGAUUUAGACCUACAGGUUUGGGGUUUUUUUCUACGUCGUUUUCCAUAGUGGAGAUGAUAAAAGCAUGCUGCUUUUUCUCAUUCCACUUCUUCACUGAAGCUGCUUAAGAAAAUGAGAUACAACAAAUCCAUUUAGGAUUAUGUUGAAAAAGCAUCUCUGCUUUUAAUAUUAACCAGAUUUUUACUGCUAAGUUUUGCUGGCAAAUCUCUGAAAGUUUCAGCUUGCAACUUAUCCGGAUCAUUUAAAUCUACAAUGCUGGCUUUGCAGUCUUGCAAGAACAUCUGUUUUGAUUUCCAAAGCUAUCUUUUUUAGUCCUAGAGCACUCUUCUUUAGUGUUGUAGAUUUUUUUCAGAAUCUUAAAGGGCCUUAGUUUUAGCUCCAAAACAUAAUGAAAAUCAGGAGGAAGUACCUGAGUGUAAUGUUUCUUGUGCUGGUAAUUUCACUGAAUUUAUUCAGUCUAAAUGGACAAAGAAACAGCUGGAUGUUUCUUUUCUAUGACUUUAGUGAAACCUAACAAUACAGAACUGUUGUGUGCUACGUCUCUUAUCGUGCUCUUAUUGAGGCAUAGUUUGCAUGUGUAUAUAUCUUUAUGUUUAUUAAUUAAUGACUAUUAAUGUGUCUAGUAACAUGCUGUUGCUUUUAUUUGAUGGUAGAUGGAUGUAUUUGGUUGGGGAAGUAUUCAUCUGAAUCUAAACUUUUAAAAAUUAUUUUAUCAUUUUCAAAAUUAAAUGCCUGGAAAAUGCUGAUGUAUUGCAACCAGACAGUGACUAUCAUGUAGAGAAAGGACCAGUUACAUAUCUGUUCCUCAAAUUAAUUCAGCAUUCAAAAUGCAAGAAUUAAUAAUGAUAUUGUGUAUGCCUGCAAAUGGAAACCAGAUUAUGAUUUUGAUAACUCUGCUUAUCACUGAAGCUUGGAACAAGUGCUCCAACUGGAAAAAUAGCUCACUAGCUGCUAACUUGUGUUCUCAAAAGCUUCACAGUUUAGCAGAAAAGUGUUGAUUACUUGGCAUUCAAUAUAAGUUCCAAAUAACUAUUCCUUAAUCAUGCUUUUUUUACACCUCAGAUAAUUUAUACACAUUAAUUUCUUAGUUCAUGUACGCAUAGAGGUCAUCACUCUACUGGCUAAAACCUUUAUCCUCUGACACACCUCUCAUGUAUAUUAAAACAAAUGCCAUACUAUUGUUAAUAGGAUUAUAUCCCAACCUUCUAUCAAAUUGUUUACCAACAUAAAUCUGUCACUUUUUGUAUACGCAUUCCCACCUAAAAAAUAAUGAUGUCUUUAUUCCGUAGUUCACUCCAGCUUGAUGUGUAGUGCUCUAAAUCUCAACGGCAUUUCUGGGUAAAAAGCAAGUUAUUAUAUGCAUUGUUUCACUUGUACAUUUAUUAACAGAACUUCUAGUUAAAUUCUAAUUGAAUUUGUCUUGUCAUACUUGCACUGUAACAUGCUUUGAAUGUCUUAUGAUUUUUUUUU